GACGAACGCUGGCGGCGUGCUUAACACAUGCAAGUCGAACGGAAAGGCCUAGCUUGCUGGGUACUCGAGUGGCGAACGGGUGAGUAACACGUGGGUGAUCUGCCCCUGACUUUGGGAUAAGCCUGGGAAACUGGGUCUAAUACCGGAUAUUCAUUUUUCCUCGCAUGGGGAUUUGUGGAAAGCUUUUGCGGUUGGGGAUGGGCCCGCGGCCUAUCAGCUUGUUGGUGGGGUAAUGGCCUACCAAGGCGACGACGGGUAGCCGACCUGAGAGGGGGAUCGGCCAGACUGGGAUUGAGCCACGGCCCAGACUCCUACGGGAGGCAGCGGUGGGGAAUAUUGCACAAUGGGAGGAAGCCUGAUGCAGCGACGCCGCGUGAGGGAUGACGGCCUUCGGGUUGUAAACCUCUUUCAGCUCCGACGAAGCGCAAGUGACGGUAGGAGCAGAAGAAGCACCGGCCAACUACGUG
This 467-nucleotide ribosomal RNA is filed under the name uncultured bacterium. RNAcentral describes it as "partial 16S ribosomal RNA". It matches the Rfam family "Bacterial small subunit ribosomal RNA", at positions 28 to 507 of the family's 1533-position model. The record is from RNAcentral.